AGGACGAACGCUGGCGGCGUGCUUAACACAUGCAAGUCGAGCGGAAAGGCCCUUCGGGGUACUCGAGCGGCGAACGGGUGAGUAACACGUGAGCAACCUGCCCUUAGCUCCGGGAUAGCUCCGGGAAACCGGAAUUAAUACCGGAUACGACCACGGCCGACAUACUGCUGUGGUGGAAAGGAUUCCGGCUAAGGAUGGGCUCGCGGCCUAUCAGCUAGUUGGUGGAGUAACGGCCCACCAAGGCGACGACGGGUAGCCGGCCUGAGAGGGCGACCGGCCACACUGGGACUGAGACACGGCCCAGACUCCUACGGGAGGCAGCAGUGGGGAAUAUUGCGCAAUGGGCGAAAGCCUGACGCAGCGACGCCGCGUGGGGGAUGAAGGCCUUCGGGUUGUAAACCCUUUCAGCAGGGACGAAGCGAAAGUGACGGUACCUGCAGAAGAAGCGCCGGCUAACUACGCGCCAGCAGCCGC
This 474-nucleotide ribosomal RNA is filed under the name uncultured bacterium. RNAcentral's name for it is "SSU rRNA". It matches the Rfam family "Bacterial small subunit ribosomal RNA", at positions 26 to 518 of the family's 1533-position model. The record is from RNAcentral.